GAAGCUUGCUUCUCUGAUGUUAGCGGCGGGGGGGUGACGUAACACGUGGAUAACCUACCUAUAAGACUGGGAUAACUUCGGGAAACCGGAGCUAAUACCGGAUAAUAUUUUGAACCGCAUGGUUCAAAAGUGAAAGACGGUCUUGCUGUCACUUAUAGAUGGAUCCGCGCUGCAUUAGCUAGUUGGUAGGGUAACGGCUUACCAAGGCAACGAUGCAUAGCCGACCUGAGAGGGUGAUCGGCCACACUGGAACUGAGACACGGUCCAGACUCCUACGGGAGGCAGCAGUAGGGAAUCUUCCGCAAUGGGCGAAAGCCUGACGGAGCAACGCCGCGUGAGUGAUGAAGGUCUUCGGAUCGUAAAACUCUGUUAUUAGGGAAGAACAUAUGUGUAAGUAACUGUGCACAUCUUGACGGUACCUAAUCAGAAAGCCACGGCUAACUACGUGCCAGCAGCCGCGGUAAUACGUAGGUGGCAAGCGUUAUCCGGAAUUAUUGGGCGUAAAGCGCGCGUAGGCGGUUUUUUAAGUCUGAUGUGAAAGCCCACGGCUCAACCGUGGAGGGUCAUUGGAAACUGGAAAACUUGAGUGCAGAAGAGGAACACGUGGAAUUCCAUGUGUAGCGGUGAAAUGCGCAGAGAUAUGGAGGAACACCAGUGGCGAAGGCGACUUUCUGGUCUGUAACUGACGCUGAUGUGUGAAAGCGUGGGGAUCAAACAGGAUUAGAUACCCUGGUAGUCCACGCCGUAAACGAUGAGUCCUCCCAGUGUUAGGGGGUUUCCGCCCCUUAGUGCUGCAGCUAACGCAUUAAGCACUCCGCCUGGGGAG
This 826-nucleotide ribosomal RNA is filed under the name uncultured Staphylococcus sp. RNAcentral's name for it is "bacterial SSU rRNA". It matches the Rfam family "Bacterial small subunit ribosomal RNA", at positions 75 to 880 of the family's 1533-position model. The record is from RNAcentral. Lineage: Bacteria; Bacillati; Bacillota; Bacilli; Caryophanales; Staphylococcaceae.